UGCCCAGCAACUCCUAUCCCUACCACCUCGUGGUACUGGCAAGGUACGAGUAACCUUGGGGAUGAUCGGGUAACCAACCCCCGGUGGGAACUUUGGUCGUAUGCUGACAGGGAAGG
RNAcentral lists this ribozyme (116 nucleotides) under Aedes aegypti (yellow fever mosquito). RNAcentral describes it as "drz-agam-1 ribozyme". It matches the Rfam family "drz-agam-1 ribozyme". The record is from Rfam by way of RNAcentral. Lineage: Eukaryota; Metazoa; Arthropoda; Insecta; Diptera; Culicidae.